AUAGAUGAAUCUUUUCUGCAGUCUUUGAGCAGCAACUUGGAGGGAGGAACCCCUAUAGAGUUCCAAGGAGGCCGAUCCCCUAAAGAGAUCAACCCCAAGUUUAGAAUCUGCAAGGGUUCUAACACCUGGUAUCAGAGCAGCGUUCUUGGCAUCUCGCUGCCCUUCCACAGCCAUCCAUCAACCCUCUACAACCAUCCAAAGCAAUUCCCACAAUUGCGUAAAAGAUCGUCACCGAAUUCCGCCAUCAUCUCCACCACCGCGGAUCAUCCUUUGAUCUCCCCGUGAAUUGAAACAGGUUCUGGUUUCCUACCUUACUGCUG
Molecule: long non-coding RNA, 320 nt
Filed under: Musa acuminata (dwarf banana)
Lineage: Eukaryota; Viridiplantae; Streptophyta; Magnoliopsida; Zingiberales; Musaceae
Description: long non-coding RNA (MACU_LNC008611)
Source: RNAcentral